Molecule: ribosomal RNA, 404 nt
Filed under: Fusobacteriota bacterium
Lineage: Bacteria; Fusobacteriati; Fusobacteriota
Description: Fusobacteria bacterium partial 16S ribosomal RNA
Rfam family: Bacterial small subunit ribosomal RNA
Source: RNAcentral
UGGGGAAUAUUGCACAAUGGAGGGAACUCUGAUGCAGCGACGCCGCGUGAGUGAUGAAGGAAUUCGUUUCGUAAAACUCUGUUCUAUGGGAAGAAAAGGACUGUACCAUAGGAGAAAGCUCCGGCUAAAUACGUGCCAGCAGCCGCGGUAAUACGCAUGGAGCGAGCGUUGUCCGGAAUUAUUGGGCGUAAAGGGUGCGCAGGCGGCUUUACAAGUUGGAUGUGAAAUAUUGUGGCUCAACCACAAACGUGCAUCCAAAACUGCAAAGCUUGAGUUAAGGAGAGGUAAGUGGAAUUCCUGGUGUAGCGGUGGAAUGCGUAGAUAUCAGGAGGAAUACCGGUGGCGAAGGCGGCUUACUGGACUUAAACUGACGCUCAGGCACGAAAGCGUGGGGAGCAAACAGG